RNAcentral lists this ribosomal RNA (253 nucleotides) under uncultured bacterium. RNAcentral describes it as "partial 16S ribosomal RNA". It matches the Rfam family "Bacterial small subunit ribosomal RNA", at positions 524 to 776 of the family's 1533-position model. The record is from RNAcentral.
UACGUAGGUGGCAAGCGUUGUCCGGAUUUACUGGGCGUAAAGAGCGCGCAGGCGGUUGAUUAAGUCGAAUGUGAAAGCCCCCGGCUCAACUGGGGAGGGUCAUUCGAUACUGAUCAACUUGAAGGCAGGAGAGGGAAGUGGAAUUCCGGGUGUAGUGGUGAAAUGCGUAGAUAUCCGGAGGAACACCAGUGGCGAAGGCGACUUCCUGGCCUGUUCUUGACGCUGAGGCGCGAAAGCUGGGGGAGCAAACGGG